GUUGAGGAGAAUGUCGUCUGGUUCGAGAUCUUUCAUUGACAAGGCAAAACCAAAAACUAUAGAUAUUUAUAUGUGUGUGUAGUCAUCACGUACGUGAAUGAUUUCGGACCAGGCUUCAUUCUCCUCAAC
This 129-nucleotide microRNA precursor is filed under the name Nicotiana attenuata. RNAcentral's name for it is "pre miRNA mir-166". It matches the Rfam family "mir-166 microRNA precursor family". From Rfam's summary of the family: This family represents the plant microRNA (miRNA) precursor mir-166. Lineage: Eukaryota; Viridiplantae; Streptophyta; Magnoliopsida; Solanales; Solanaceae. The record is from Rfam by way of RNAcentral.